GAUCCUGGCUCAGGAUGAACGCUGGCGGCGUGCUUAACACAUGCAAGUCGAACGGGAAAUCUUUUAUUGAAGCUUCGGCAGAUUUAAAUUGUUUCUAGUGGCGGACGGGUGAGUAACGCGUGGGUAACCUGCCCUAUACAGGGGGAUAACAACCAGAAAUGGUUGCUAAUACCGCAUAAGCGCACAGGACCGCAUGGUCCGGUGUGAAAAACUCCGGUGGUAUAGGAUGGACCCGCGUUGGAUUAGCCAGUUGGCAGGG
Molecule: ribosomal RNA, 259 nt
Filed under: uncultured bacterium
Lineage: Bacteria
Description: partial 16S ribosomal RNA
Rfam family: Bacterial small subunit ribosomal RNA
Source: RNAcentral